GAAGCCGGAAUUGCUGUAAUGGCAGGUCAGCAUACUGCCGUGAAUACGUUCCCGGGCCUUGUACACACCGCCCGUCACACCAUGAGAGUUGGGAAUACCCGAAGCCUGUGAGCUAACAUUAUGAGGCAGCAGUCGAAGGUAGAAUCAAUGAUUGGGGUGAAGUCGUAACAAGGUAAC
Molecule: ribosomal RNA, 177 nt
Filed under: uncultured bacterium
Lineage: Bacteria
Description: partial 16S ribosomal RNA
Rfam family: Bacterial small subunit ribosomal RNA
Source: RNAcentral